This is an RNA transcript of Juglans regia (Persian walnut), 1349 nucleotides long. It is a transcript of the gene named protein DEHYDRATION-INDUCED 19 homolog 4-like, with no coding region annotated. The record is from RefSeq and is a predicted model, not a curated record. NCBI's taxonomy places the organism in Eukaryota, Viridiplantae, Streptophyta, Magnoliopsida, Fagales, Juglandaceae. The transcript has 4 exons.
CUAUUUGUGAGUAGGAAUUCGUGCAUGCUAAGAAUCCAAUCCAAGCAACACCACACCUACAAUCCCGAAAGUCCUUUUGGUAAUCUUCCUGGGUAUUUCACUUGGUCCGAACCUGCUUAAGAAACACCCGAUAAAUAGCGCUUAGAGGAGCUUGAUAUUCUAUUUUCUCUGCAAAACCAACCAUUCUUUUCACCUGAUUCAAGCACCAGCUGAACAUUUUUCCAAGUUUUUCUAGAGUGAAAUUCUAUGGAGGAUGAUGCUUGGAGCUUUGGUUUUUCUACUUCUUCAAGGGCCUACCGAUCAACUAAUCUUUGUAUAGAUUGGGAGGAGGUUGAAGCGGACGAUGAUUUAAAAGCAGAAUAUCCGUGCCCAUUUUGUCCAGAGGAUUUUGAUUUGGUUGGGUUGUGCUGCCAUAUUGACGAGGAGCAUCCUAUAGAAGCAAAUUAUGGGGUAUGUCCUGUUUGUGCUACAAAAGUGGGUAUGAAUAUGGUUGGGCACAUAACAACACAGCAUGGGAACUUUUUUAAGAUAUCCUUUAUUUUCUUAUUCAACUUCAGAAUUCAUCUACCGAUCAAGCCUUUCUAGAUUUACCAGCCAUUCUUUAUGUUACAGAGUGUUUUCUCAUCAUUUUCCUUCUCUAAAAUUUUGAACUGCUUAUCUCCUAUUUCAUAUUUGUUAAUAUGCUGGGAUGAAAGUUAAAAUUAUUGUCUGGUUUCCUUGACUUGAGAUUACAAUUGGCACAAGUUGAAACUCUGUAAGGGUGAGUCUUAUUCAACUUUUUCUUCUUCAAGAAAGGAAUUUCAGAAUGGACAUUUCCAAUCUCUUCUUGCCGGGUCAUCCCCUGUGGUUUCUACCUCUAAGAUGGCACCUGAUUCGUUGCUGUCAUUUCUUUACAAUGGGCCUGCUGCUGUCAAGUCUGAAAGUGUGCAGCCUGAUUCUUCAACUGAAGUAAGCAUGGAAGAUGAAAAUUCUGAUGAGUCGAGAAAUUUUCAAGUUCCUUUAUCAGACAAGGAAAAAGAGGAGAAAUCAAGGAGAUGCGAGUUUGUACGGGGCCUGUUCUUGUCCACCAUCUUUGAUGACAGCUUAUGAAUGGGAUACAAUAUGGUGUUUGUUGCCAGUUUCCCUAAUUUUAAGAGAGAUGUUUAUCAUCCAUGCUGUUUGUCGAAUAUUCUGGUACCUUUGAUAGAAAGAGCCAAGUUAGACAUAGGGAAUUCAAUGUAAUGCUCGUUGUUAGUCAAAUGUAAUUAGCAAGGCCCGCAUGGACCAGACUCUCGUUUCACGUAUCUCAAAGUUUUAAGUGCUAGUGAAAAUAUUUACAGUGAAAUUCCUGCUACUCGGUUUAGGUAUAA